CAUUUUUUGUUUGUUCAUUUAUUUUUACAGGUUCGAAUGCAAGCACUGAAAUGUUUCUCAGUUUUAGCUUUUGAAAACCCCCAGGUAUCGAUGACCCUGGUAAAUGGUAGGCUGGAGCUUUCAGUGGCACCUACAUGAUUUAAUUGAUGAACUUGGUAGAUUUAAAGAAUUUCCUUAAUCAUUGUUGUUUGUUUUAUUUCUAGUUUUGGUUGAUGGAGAAUUGUUACCACAGAUUUUUGUGAAGAUGUUACAGAGGGAUAAGCCUAUUGAGAUGCAGCUCACAUCAGCAAAAUGUUUAACUUACAUGUGUAGAGCUGGAGCAAUUCGGACAGAUGAUAACUGUAUUGUAUUAAAGACAUUACCUUGUUUGGUUCGAAUGUGCAGUAAGGAGAGAUUACUAGAGGAGAGAGUUGAAGGAGCUGAGACACUUGCCUAUCUGAUUGAACCAGAUGUUGAGCUACAGAGAAUCGCUAGUAUAACUGAUCACCUCAUUGCCAUGCUUGCUGAUUAUUUCAAGUAUCCCAGCUCAGUGAGUGCCAUCACUGAUAUUAAAAGGCUUGAUCAUGAUUUAAAACAUGCUCACGAACUCCGCCAGGCUGCAUUCAAGCUCUAUGCCUCUCUUGGAGCAAAUGAUGAAGACAUCCGGAAGAAGAUCAUUGAGACUGAAAAUAUGAUGGACCGAAUUGUGACUGGCUUGUCUGAGUCUAGUGUCAAGGUGCGGUUAGCUGCCGUCAGAUGUUUGCACAGUUUAUCCAGAUCUGUGCAGCAGCUUCGAACCAGUUUCCAGGAUCAUGCUGUGUGGAAACCUUUAAUGAAGGUUUUACAAAAUGCACCAGAUGAAAUCCUAGUGGUAGCAUCUUCCAUGCUAUGUAAUCUUCUUCUUGAAUUUUCUCCAAGCAAAGAGCCAAUUUUGGAAUCAGGAGCCGUAGAGCUACUUUGUGGAUUAACUCAGAGUGAAAAUCCUGCUUUACGAGUGAAUGGAAUUUGGGCUUUAAUGAAUAUGGCAUUUCAGGCUGAACAAAAAAUAAAAGCAGAUAUUUUACGAAGCUUGAGUACUGAACAGCUAUUCCGGUUAUUAUCAGAUUCAGAUUUGAAUGUGCUGAUGAAGACAUUGGGACUUCUUAGAAAUCUCCUCUCCACUCGUCCUCAUAUAGAUAAAAUAAUGAGUACUCAUGGAAAGCAAAUUAUGCAAGCCGUCACUCUUAUUCUAGAAGGGGAACAUAACAUUGAGGUCAAAGAGCAGACACUGUGCAUCUUAGCCAACAUAGCGGAUGGGACAACAGCAAAAGAUCUUAUUAUGACCAAUGAUGAUAUCCUACAGAAAAUCAAGUAUUACAUGGGCCAUUCACAUGUUAAACUGCAGCUUGCAGCCAUGUUUUGUAUAUCAAACCUCAUAUGGAAUGAAGAGGAAGGUUCACAAGAACGCCAGGAUAAAUUACGAGACAUGGGCAUCGUAGAUAUUCUACACAAACUGAGUCAGUCACCAGAUUCAAACCUUUGUGACAAGGCAAAGAUGGCACUGCAGCAGUACCUGGCGUGAUGGGAGUGCCCCUGGGCACCUGCGAGCAUCCCACCUCCUUGUUUAAGGAAGUAAAGGAACCAGCCUCAUUUGAUUCCUUCUAUUUGCACAAGUCACCUUGGACUGCAGGGAGCUGUUUUGCAAAAGCAGUUUAGUAGGCUUAGAUCUCAAAUUCAUCUUGAGAACAUUUUUUUGAGGUAGUAAUUUCCUCAGAAGACUCUUGUGUUUUGGUUUUUUUUCCUGAGCUACUCGGACUCUUUAUUAGAACAAUCAAUCAUUUUCCUUUGGACCUACAAUUUUUUGCCUAUGCUGCAGCCACUUUGUGAGUGAGAAUGAAUAUGUCUGUGUGAACACACAGGCAUGCGUGUGUAUGUGCACGUACAUGGGCCAGAAUGAAUGGAUGUGUGUGUGUGAGGGAUACCUCAGAUUUUUCUUUUCUUAUUUUGUGUGAAAAUCUCUUUUCUACAGAUUUUCCAGGGUUUAAGCAUUGCUUGCUGUAUAAAAAACUUUACUGAAUUAUAUACAGUUUGAAUGAAAUGUUAUUUUAAAAACAAAACAAUUGUUAAGUGUUCCAUAAAGGUUAUGUUGAAUUUUGGUCAGAUGAAUAUUUGUAAGUAAAAAAUAUAUGCAUUUCUGAACCUCAACUUACAUAGAUUUUCUUUAUAU
This 2185-nucleotide small RNA is filed under the name Pongo abelii (Sumatran orangutan). RNAcentral describes it as "retained intron". Lineage: Eukaryota; Metazoa; Chordata; Mammalia; Primates; Hominidae. The record is from RNAcentral.